Molecule: non-coding RNA, 1433 nt
Organism: Misgurnus anguillicaudatus (oriental weatherfish)
Lineage: Eukaryota; Metazoa; Chordata; Actinopteri; Cypriniformes; Cobitidae
Source: RefSeq, a predicted model, not a curated record
GCCAGAUCAGAAAUCAGAGCCAAUUAAUGUACAACAGGUUUGAUUAACUUUGUUUACUAUCUUGUAUAUUCAGACAACAUAAACUUUAAACUAAUAUAGAAUUUGCAUGUGUUGUAGUCUAAACCAUGUAAAAUUACAGAAAAAAAAAACAUUUUUGUAUUUUGGAAAAUUUCUGUAGUUUAUUAUGCCUGUUAUUUUACAGUAUUUCUCCGGCACCCCAGCUGCCGUAAUUUUUUACGGAUUUUUUUUUACAGUUCAUCUAAACUGAGACCAAGACCAGAGUAUGUUGUAACCCUAACCAAAAUCAAGGCAGGACCAGACAGAGACAAGACCUGACCAUCACCAAAUAAAUAAAUAAAUAAACAAGAUAUUUGCAAUCAGUAGAAGAGAUUGGCCAUAUAUUACAGAAAUAGAUCUGCUUUAAAAAAUAAAAAACUAAGUGUUGCUAAACCAACAAAACACCACCAAAGUUUGGUACAAUAUAUUUAUUUGUGUUAUCUCCAAAGGCAACUAAUAUUUACUGCUUCUGCAUGUGCACGUGUGUUUUGGGAUGCAUUGUGGAUCACCUCCAGACGCGCUGAGGUUUAUCAAGAGCAGCUCUUCCGUGGAUCCCAGUUUAUCCGCCACUGCCGCGAUGACCUCUCUACCCGUGGCCAGCACAGGAACACGGAUGGUGGUAUGGUGGCCCUGCAGGGUAGCCCAGCGCAGGGCCAGACUGAGCACCCGUCUCUUGGUGGCCACGGCGUAGUCUAGACGCUCCUGCUCUGAGCCUUGAGACGCCUGAGAGUGGAAGUGGCAGUUGUCUUCUCUCAGGACGAUGGAAGCAGCGCGAGGGGCGUCGUUCACCAGGGCCAGUUUGCCAAAAUCAUCUCCUUCAUGCAGUGUGCAUACUACACCCUAAAUACAGACAGGAGGGGGGGCGCUCUUGGUCACUCACGUUUUCCUGAGGAUCAUUCGCAUGUGUGCAUCAGGACCGAUCUGAGAGAGGAAGAGGAGAGUCUCCUGCAGCUCCUCCUCAGCUUCGCGUUUCUCAUCGUCGCUAGGCAACACCGCAUCCUCCUCCUCAUCAUCAAGGAAACGGUAAAAGAGGACCCCUUCCUCCAGAAGCACCUGCCACAUUCCCACAGCAUGACCUCGACUGUGAACACAUGAGCUCUGCUGAAGUAGCCAGUCCACCAGCUCAGUGCCGACACAACACUGCCUGUAAACACAAACGCAAAUCGUGUGUUAUCCAUCAGACCCCAAAAUAUAAAGUCAAUAAAUACAUCAAUGAUAUUUCACAUGUAUGCAAGCGUGACCUACACAGUUACAAAAAUCCAAAAAUAAAAUUGUAUGCGUAAAACCAGAACUACACUUCUAGCUAUUCAUUAAAUAAUUUAGCAGACACUUUUAUUAUAUAAGCAUUUAACAUUUUGUCAAUGAACUAAACAAUA